This 1921-nucleotide long non-coding RNA is filed under the name Olea europaea (common olive). Its description in RNAcentral is "long non-coding RNA (OEUR_LNC014751)". Lineage: Eukaryota; Viridiplantae; Streptophyta; Magnoliopsida; Lamiales; Oleaceae. The record is from RNAcentral.
AAUUUCAGACUUAAAUUUCAGUCUUAGAGAAUGUUCUCUCUCCCACUACAUUGUGAAAUUCAAUACUCCAAACAACUUUAUAAUCAUUGAAUCGUAACCCAACCUAUACUAUAGCAUAUAACUACGAAUAAUCAACGAAUUCAAUCGUGAAGGCAUCAAGUAAAUUCUUUUGUUUUCUAGAAUACAAGUGGUUCAACCUCUAAUAGAACUAAUCCACUACAAUAGCAAGACGUGCAUUGAAAAUUCCUAGAAUAAAUUGGGUAUUGAACAACAUGGGCUUCGUUAAGUGAAUCCAAAUCUCAAGAAUGAGAUCAUAUCUCCAUGCUUUCAUAAAUGAGGCUGUAAUUGGAGCAUGUGGUGAAUUGAUGCAAAUGUAUCUUGAUAAAAUGAUUACUGUCGAUUAUAGAGCACCAAUUUUUUCAUACAGUAAAGGGGUUGCAUUUGAUCAGCGAAGAAUAUUUCUUUGAUGAGUUCUGAAGGAAUACAAGAUUAUUGAUCUUUAGGCAAUGAUUGCUAAAAGUUGUUGGGGUUAUUAUUUUUGAAUGGGUGAAAGAAGGCAAAUUUCUAAAAGACAAGGAUAGCUUGUUGAAUUUGAAGAACGGUAGACAAAUUAGAAAUAGAAAUUAAAACUGGUAUAAAGUUGAACCUUAAUUUUUGGGUAAAUUUCACAUGGGGUUCCUAAACCUUUAUGUUGAUAAUGAUAGAAGCUGUGCCCAUCUUAGCAUAGCCGACAGAGCGCGUGAUUUUUAAACCCCAUGAUCGUGGGUUUGAUUCCCACAAAUAGUAUUUUGUACUCUUAAAUAAUUUUAUUAAUCUAACUAUUCUAUAUUCAAAUAUAAAGUGGUUUUUUCUUCCAGAGAUCCAUAUGGGGUUCACUAAAAUGUUAUGAAGUUUAAAGCUUUAUCAAAUAUGAAUAUCCAUACUGCUUUUCGAUAAUGUAUAUUUUUUGCAUGUUACGUAAAAGUGAGAAUAGACGAUACAAAAAUAAUAACGAGAACACAAAAACUUACGUAAAAAUUCCAGACGGAAAAAAAAUCACAGGUGGAGGAGAAAUCUAUUGUAUCAAAGAUGAGUAUAGAGAGGAAUUUAGGACAGCUACAAUAAUAAAACAAGGCUUUGAAAACAAACUUUAGGAUAAAAUAGAAUUCUAAAUCUUUAACAUUAGAAUAUAUGAUUCCUUCAAAUCUCAUCGAAUUUAUCAUCUUACACUAUUCUGUGGAAUUUCACGAUCCAGUGGCGUAUCAAAAAAUUGGUGAUCAAUAAUCAACAGCGAUCAUUUCAUCUAAAUGUAUUUGCAUCAAUCCAUCAUAACAUGCUCCAAUCACAAUCUCGUUAAUGAAAGCAUAGAGAUGAGACUUCAUUCUGUAGAAUUGGAUUCAUUUGUUUGAAGCCCAUGUCGAUCAACCUUAGUUUAUUCCACUAAUUCUCAACCAUUUCUAACUAUUACAAUAUAUUAGUUGUAAUAGUGGUGGAACCAUUUAUAUUAUGGAACCCUUUUUCAAAAAGACAAAAGAGCUUACCCGAUAUCUUUUAUAUUGAAUCCAAUAAUUAUUCAUCUUUUUAUGCCAUUGAGCAUUAUAGGCUGGGUUAUGAUUCAAGAAACAAUGAUUAUAAAGAUGUUCGGGUGGUUGAUUAUCAUAUUUAGCAGGCAGUAAACAUUCUUUAAGAUUGAAAUUUUAAGCUUGAAAUUGAAUUCUUGAAGCAAGGUCCAACGUUUCCUUGCCUUUUUUAUGAAAAUCGCUGAAAGGCACAUGUCAAUGGGUCAUAGCAUAUGCUUCUUGAGAAUAUUCCAUCCAAAUUUGGACAAAACAUAUAGAAUUAUGGAUUUUAUUAUUGCGAAUUAGAAUCAUUACGAGUUAAUGUUGUCAACAAAUAUUCCGAUCGAGAAUGUUAGAAUGGAGGUGGAUUUCUAGAAGAGUGU